This 216-nucleotide ribosomal RNA is filed under the name uncultured Geobacillus sp. Its description in RNAcentral is "partial 16S ribosomal RNA". It matches the Rfam family "Bacterial small subunit ribosomal RNA", at positions 1170 to 1382 of the family's 1533-position model. Lineage: Bacteria; Bacillati; Bacillota; Bacilli; Caryophanales; Anoxybacillaceae. The record is from RNAcentral.
GAAGUGGGGAUGACGUCAAAUCAUCAUGCCCCUUAUGACCUGGGCUACACACGUGCUACAAUGGGCGGUACAAAGGGCGUGCGAACCCGCGAGGGGGAGCGAAUCCCAAAAAGCCCGACUCUCAGUUCGGAUUGCAGGCUGCAACCCGCCUGCAUGAAGCCGGAAUCGCUAGUAAUCGCGGAUCAGCAUGCCGCGGUGAAUACGUUCCCGGGCCUU